Molecule: ribosomal RNA, 253 nt
Filed under: uncultured bacterium
Lineage: Bacteria
Description: partial 16S ribosomal RNA
Rfam family: Bacterial small subunit ribosomal RNA
Source: RNAcentral
UACGGAGGGUGCGAGCGUUGUCCGGAAUCACUGGGCGUAAAGGGCGCGUAGGCGGCCUGGCAAGUCGAUGGUGAAAGCCCGAGGCUCAACUUCGGGUCGGCCACUGAUACUGCUGGGCUUGAGUCGACUAGAGGCAGAUGGAAUUCCGGGUGUAGCGGUGGAAUGCGUAGAGGUCCGGAAGAACACCGGUGGCGAAGGCGGUCUGCUGGGGUCGAACUGACGCUGAGGCGCGACAGCGUGGGGAGCAAACAGG